This 468-nucleotide ribosomal RNA is filed under the name uncultured bacterium. Its description in RNAcentral is "partial 16S ribosomal RNA". It matches the Rfam family "Bacterial small subunit ribosomal RNA", at positions 28 to 507 of the family's 1533-position model. The record is from RNAcentral.
GACGAACGCUGGCGGCGUGCUUAACACAUGCAAGUCGAACGGAAAGGCCCUGCUUUUGUGGGGUGCUCGAUUGGCGAACGGGUGAGUAACACGUGAGUAACCUGCCCUUGACUUUGGGAUAACUUCAGGAAACUGGGGCUAAUACCGUAUAGGAGCUCCUGCUGCAUGGUGGGGGUUGGAAAGUUUCGGCGGUUGGGGAUGGACUCGCGGCUUAUCAGCUUGUUGGUGGGGUAGUGGCUUACCAAGGCUUUGACGGGUAGCCGGCCUGAGAGGGUGACCGGCCACAUUGGGACUGAGAUACGGCCCAGACUCCUACGGGAGGCAGCAGUGGGGAAUAUUGCACAAUGGGCGGAAGCCUGAUGAAGCAACGCCGCGUGCGGGAUGACGGCCUUCGGGUUGUAAACCGCUUUAGCCUGUGACGAAGCGUGAGUGACGGUAAUGGGUAAAGAAGCACCGGCUAACUACGUG